UACGUAGGGGGCAAGCGUUGUCCGGAUUUAUUGGGCGUAAAGAGCUCGUAGGUGGUUCGGUAAGUCGGAUGCGAAAUCUCCAGGCUCAACCUGGAGGGGUCAUUCGAUACUGCCGUGACUAGAGUUCGGUAGGGGAGUGUGGAAUUCCUGGUGGAGCGGUGAAAUGCGCAGAUAUCAGGAGGAACACCCGUAGCGAAGGCGGCACUCUGGGCCGAUACUGACACUGAGGAGCGAAAGCGUGGGGAGCGAACAGG
This 254-nucleotide ribosomal RNA is filed under the name uncultured bacterium. Its description in RNAcentral is "partial 16S ribosomal RNA". It matches the Rfam family "Bacterial small subunit ribosomal RNA", at positions 524 to 776 of the family's 1533-position model. The record is from RNAcentral.